RNAcentral lists this ribosomal RNA (986 nucleotides) under Meiothermus sp. RNAcentral describes it as "bacterial SSU rRNA". It matches the Rfam family "Bacterial small subunit ribosomal RNA", at positions 45 to 1069 of the family's 1533-position model. The record is from RNAcentral. Lineage: Bacteria; Thermotogati; Deinococcota; Deinococci; Thermales; Thermaceae.
UGCCUAGACAUGCAGUCGAACGGGCUGUUUAUGCAGCCAGUGGCGGACGGGUGAGUAACACGUAGGUGACCUACCCCAAAGUCUGGGACAACUAGGAGAAAUCUUAGCUAAUCCUGGAUGUGGACAUCUACUUUGGUGGAUGUUUAAAGCUUCGGCGCUUUGGGAUGGGCCUGCGGCGCAUCAGGUAGUUGGUGGGGUAAUGGCCUACCAAGCCGACGACGCGUAGCUGGUCUGAGAGGACGAUCAGCCACAGGGGUACUGAGACACGGACCCCACUCCUACGGGAGGCAGCAGUUAGGAAUCUUCCGCAAUGGGCGAAAGCCUGACGGAGCGAUACCGCUUGAAGGACGAAGCCCUUCGGGGUGUAAACUUCUGAACUCGGGACGAUAAUGACGGUACCGAGGUAAUAGCACCGGCUAACUCCGUGCCAGCAGCCGCGGUAAUACGGAGGGUGCGAGCGUUACCCGGAUUUACUGGGUGUAAAGGGCGUGUAGGCGGUCUCUCAAGUCCGAUGCUAAAGACCGAAGCUCAACUUCGGGGGUGCGUUGGAUACUGUGAGGCUAGACGGUCGGAGAGGGUAGCGGAAUUUCCGGAGUAGCGGUGAAAUGCGCAGAUACCGGAAGGAACGCCAAUAGCGAAAGCAGCUACCUGGACGAUUUGUGACGCUGAGGCGCGAAAGCGUGGGGAGCAAACCGGAUUAGAUACCCGGGUAGUCCACGCCCUAAACGAUGAGUGCUGGGUGUCCGACAUCUGUUGGGUGCCGUAGCUAACGCGUUAAGCACUCCACCUGGGAAGUACGGUCGCAAGACUGAAACUCAAAGGAAUUGACGGGGGCCCGCACAAGCGGUGGAGCAUGUGGUUUAAUUCGAAGCAACGCGCAGAACCUUACCAGGUCUUGACAUCCACGGAACCCUGGUGAAAGCCGGGGGUGCCCGCAAGGGAGCCGUGAGACAGGUGCUGCAUGGUCGUCGUCAGCUCGUGUCGUG